This 69-nucleotide transfer RNA is filed under the name Lophophysema eversa. Its description in RNAcentral is "tRNA-Gly". It matches the Rfam family "tRNA". Rfam says of the family: Transfer RNA (tRNA) molecules are approximately 80 nucleotides in length. Their secondary structure includes four short double-helical elements and three loops (D, anti-codon, and T loops). Further hydrogen bonds mediate the characteristic L-shaped molecular structure. tRNAs have two regions of fundamental functional importance: the anti-codon, which is responsible for specific mRNA codon recognition, and the 3' end, to which the tRNAs corresponding amino acid is attached (by aminoacyl-tRNA synthetases). tRNAs cope with the degeneracy of the genetic code in two manners: having more than one tRNA (with a specific anti-codon) for a particular amino acid; and 'wobble' base-pairing, i.e. permitting non-standard base-pairing at the 3rd anti-codon position. The record is from RNAcentral. Lineage: Eukaryota; Metazoa; Porifera; Hexactinellida; Amphidiscosida; Hyalonematidae.
GCGCACAUAUUCCAAUCAAAAUGCAGAACUUCCAAUUCAGCGAUGAAAGUUAAAAUCUUUCUUUGCGCA